Molecule: ribosomal RNA, 867 nt
Filed under: uncultured bacterium
Lineage: Bacteria
Description: bacterial SSU rRNA
Rfam family: Bacterial small subunit ribosomal RNA
Source: RNAcentral
AGAGUUUGAUCCUGGCUCAGAAUGAACGUUGGCGGCGUGGAUUAGGCAUGCAAGUCGAACGGGCCUGGUUUUCGGAUCAGGUCAGUGGCGCAAGGGUGAGUAAUGCGACGGCAACCAACCCCAUGGUUGGGCAUAGCCGCGGGAAACUGCGGGUAAUUUCCAGCGACGUUCGCGGCGGGCAUCCGCUGCGAACCAAAGCUUCGGCGCCGUGGGACGGACCGUCGUGGUAUUAGGUUGUUGGCGGGGUAAUGGCCCACCAAGCCUCUGAUGCCUACCGGGCGUGCGAGCGUGGCCCGGCACACUGGGACUGAGACACUGCCCAGACUCCUACGGGAGGCUGCAGUCGAGAAUCUUCGGCAAUGGGCGCAAGCCUGACCGAGCGACGCCGCGUGGAGGAUGAAGGCCUUCGGGUUGUAAACUCCUGUCGAGGGGGAGGAAGGCGCAAGCUUGACCUAUCCCUGGAGGAAGCACGGGCUAAGUUCGUGCCAGCAGCCGCGGUAAGACGAACCGUGCUAACGUUAUUCGGAAUCACUGGGCUUAAAGCGCGUGUAGGCGGAUGGGGACGUCGGUUGCUGAAAUCCCCCGGCUCAACCGGGGAACGGGCGCCGAAACGCCCCGUCUCGAGGGACGUAGGGGGACCUGGAACUUCCGGUGGAGCGGUAAAAUGCGUUGAGAUCGGAAGGAACGCCCGUGGCGAAAGCGAGGUCCUGGACGUUUUCUGACGCUGAGACGCGAAAGCUAGGGUAGCGAACGGGAUUAGAUACCCCGGUAGUCCUAGCUGUAAACGAUGGGCACUGGGUAGGGGGCUCGCCGAUGGGCUCCCUGCCGCAGGAAACCGUGAAGUGCCCGCCUGGGAGUAUGGUCGCA